This 2885-nucleotide long non-coding RNA is filed under the name Ananas comosus (pineapple). Its description in RNAcentral is "long non-coding RNA (ACOM_LNC020150)". The record is from RNAcentral. Lineage: Eukaryota; Viridiplantae; Streptophyta; Magnoliopsida; Poales; Bromeliaceae.
GGCCACCCCGUGGUCACUCCCCCGACCUCCUGCAGCCCGCCUCCGCCGUCCCGGAGCUCCCCGGCCGCCGCCGUGGCCGCAGCAACUCCUGGAACCCGAGCCCGAUCUCGUGCGGGCUCGGUUUGCUCCGCCGCCGCCGCCGCCGCUUCCAGCCGCCACCUGAGGUGAGCACGGUGUUCCUCACCUCCCCCUCACCCGACUCAGGGCCCCGCGCGCGCCGCCGUGCCGCCGGAGGCCGGCCGGAGCAAGGUUGCUCCGGCCAAGCCCGAAAUAGGGCUUAUUUGAGUGGGUUUCUUGUUCUGGGCUUCCCGAGCUUCCCCGAUCUCUACGGAAGGGAGCACGAUGAUCCUGGCAAGUUGCUGAUCAUCGUGCUCACCUUGGUUUCUGUCGGGAAGGCCCCGUUCCGCUGUUUUGGCGAUGUCGCUCCGUUUCAGCCUUUUUGGCUGCUGUUUCGGGUUUGUGCUUGUUUUUCCGGCGAUCCGAGGCUGUUCCGAUGCCUCCGGAGGUGAGCACGGUGACCGCUGGUCAGUGCUGAUCACAAUGCUCACCUUCCCUUGGAUCAGAAGUGUCCGGUUAGUUCUGUUCGGCGCGAUCUUCCCUGACUGCGCGCUAUUCGCUGAACCUUCGGGUUGCUCCCGCGCUUCCCACAGCGAGCCGCUGUGCUCCGGAUCGUGAGCACGGACUCCGGUACGUCGAGACCUGUCAGUACGUGUCUCUGCGGACUUCGAAAGUCCUCGGUUUGCGUGAACGAGCCGCUUGAUCGCUCAAAUUACAUAAAAUGAUGAUAUUUUAUGUAAUUAGAGGGUCUUUUAUGCAUUUGUGCUUUGCGUGGCUACUGUGGGCAGUGUGUGGGAGUUUGUAAUGACCGCUGGACUGAUUGUCCAUGGUCCGUUAGCUUUCGCGGAAAUCGGUAGGUCGAUUUCGGUGCGUUUUUCGGCGAAAUUCGCCGAAAGAACGCGGUUUCGGUUCGGAUUCUUUCCGACGGUGUUUGGUUGCUUCGUGUUUUGUCGCUGAGCCUUGUUGGCUGGUCACCAUCGUCAUUUUGUGGGUUCGAUGAUGAUAGGUGAGCGACGGAGGGUUCCGGUGUCGAAAUAGACACUUCCGGGAACCCGGAUUCGUACGAUUAUCCGGCGAUGAUCGUAUUGUUGUGUGACCUUGUGUUCGCUGCCAAGGCAUCCAAAUUGGAAUGUUUUGGGGCAGCGGGUGACUCGUGGUACGAGUCGGUGAGUUCGGGACACUUAGUGGGUCCCGACGGCGUCCCGGUGUGGUUUUCGGGACUUCCGGUGAGUUACGGUAAUCGGUUUUGGGAAACCGAUUACGGGGAUCCUGUGUGGGGGUUUGUGAGUCUCGUGCUUUGGGUUAGUGGUUUGGAUACUGACUUGGUGGAUCUUCUUAGGUCCGGUAGACUCUGUGCGUACCCAGUGUUCCGACGCGACAGUGACAGGUGGGUGCUUCGAGCUGGUAGUCGGUGAGAGCGUUUCACCUCCUUCUCCUGUUUUUCUAUUCCAGUAUAUUAGCUCUACAUGUCAGUUGUUUGGUUAUCGUUUGGUUAUCGUAUUUCGUUGACUGCAUUGGUUAGUGAUUGAUAGACAUGUAGAGCAGGUUGCAUUUGUAUUUCAGUAUCUCUGUGGACCUUGGGUCCAGGCAACACAUCGACUCUCUUGUCGUGUGUUUCGAUCUGGUUGAUCGAGGUUCGGCGUUGUACGCCCUAGCUUCUAUUUCAGUUUGGCAUUGUACGCCCUCGUUGUUGGCUUCGGCCUAGGCACCGGCUUUAGCCGGGUUUGUUUUUGUUUGAGCAUACCAGCAUGACUUAGUCACGGCACUUGGGGGUAUUCAUGACACCGGAUCGGUUUGGCCACCGAUCGGAGGUGUACUUAUCCGGAUAGGUCGUCCUGCGGGGCGGAUGGAUCAGGUCGGUGCAGUUAGUGACAGGCAGCGCUUGAGGUCUGCGGACCAAUACAGCAGGCACAGAUUGUGUACAGUUUCUAUUCAGUACUUUGAGGCAUUCUUUGCAUUGUUAUCUAUACAGUAGCAGGUUUGUUUAUUGCUUCUUAUUUAUCUGUUGUAGCUACUGUAGUUCGUUUUCAUAUAUCGGUAUCUAUAUUUGUUUAUCUAUCUCCUUUGGUUUCCGGUGAUUACGGCUUGCCUUCGUGGCUCUGUCGUACCCACUGAGAAAACCAUGGUUGCGGUUUCUCACCCCCCAUUUCCCCCCCCCAGGUGAUAUAGACGAGGAGUUGGAUUUUGGGCUCGACGAGAGGACGAUCUAGCUAGUAUAGUAUAGCGAUCGCCACCCUGGUUGUAUUUCUUUCCCGCCUUUAGUAGUCAUUUAAAUAAUGGUUCAGUUAGCUGAUUUUUAUGAUUGUUUGAAUGUGGUGAUCUGGUUUUGGUAGAUCUGUGGAUGCUUUCAUUAUUUAUGCAUGUGAACUGAGGUUUGUGGAUUUGGAUUUUGAUUCUAUGGAUAUCGGAUUUUCUUGUAUUUACAUAUCGUGAUUUUCUACCCCUCGAGGUAGUUGAUUUUCAAAAUAGAGUUUCCGUGUGGGAAAUAGUUUUAAAAAUGUUUUCGAAUGAUUUUCAUAAUGAAUGAAUUAGAGUUUAAAAAUAAAAGCUUCCGUGUGGGGAGCACUUUUAAAUAGGAUGAUUGUUGUACUGUGCAUCGCAUCAUCCAGCGCCUAAGGAGUGCUUAGAGGCAUGCAUCAUUUCUAAGGAUUGUUAGCUGUAUGAAAAUGCAUAUCAUGAAUUGGUUGUUGAUUGGUAACUGUAGGUUGUGGUUGUGAUCCUGUUGUAUAGUUGGUACGCCGUGCAAAUACAAAGGAGACUCUGUCCGAGUGGACAGAUGAACUUUGUAUUUGUGGCGGGUCUGUACGUCACGUGGGCCAGGUUGAAAA